Sinocyclocheilus anshuiensis is the source of this 1503-nucleotide long non-coding RNA. RefSeq lists it as uncharacterized. NCBI's taxonomy places the organism in Eukaryota, Metazoa, Chordata, Actinopteri, Cypriniformes, Cyprinidae. The transcript is spliced from 5 exons. The record is from RefSeq and is a predicted model, not a curated record.
CUACAAAUUCCAUGUAGUUUUAUGGUCUCAUAAAGGGAUUCAUAAUUAUUAAUACGCAAAGGUUUGAAAUAUUUUAAAUGGAGUAUGGAAUGGGUAAACAACCCUAUCUAGCGACGCAUUGCGAUUAUUUUUUUUAACGACUCAUCUGAAUCGAUUCCGUGGGCUGCGGCUACGUGUGCACGGCAUCUGUGGUUGAUCCCAGCAGGUUCUUGAAGAAGGUUUUGGUACGGGUCUUUAUUACUGUGUGAAUCUAUGACCACGUAAGUCACUGAAGCAAUAAUACUCUCCACUGUCUUCAUUCUGGGCUCCAUUGAUGACCAGCUGGAAAUUUUUAUUUAUUCCAUUUCCACUAAAUCGAGAUGGGAUGGAAGAAUAUCGGAUAUGUCCAUGAUAGAUGAGGAGUUUAGGAGCAUCUCCCGGUUUCUUGAGAUUGAAGUCAGUGUGAGCGCCAUUGCCGCUGAAUCUAGAUGGGAUGUUUGAGUGGCGUUCGCGUAUGAGAUAAAUGAGGAGUUUGGGAGUGUGUCCAGGUUUGUGCUGGUACCAGAACACACAGUUCCUCCAGAGACUACAGUCAGCAACAGAUGUCAGAGGUGACUGAGGGCUGAAGAAAGUGAGCAGAAUGGGUUAUUCAGCUGCAAUAAAGUUCCUCAAGUAAUGCUGGGAGACAGGAGAGCUGUAUGUCUGCAGAGUAACACAUGCCAAGAUCCCAUACGCCAGGCAAUCCUGAUGCUUCCCAGUAGGUCCUGCUCUCUCCUGGGAAUGAAGCCAUAUCUGAGUCCCCUAUGACAGGUUUUCCCGCAGUCAGUCAACAAUCUACACCUUCUCACAGAGCUUCAACACAUUAAAGACCAGACCUGAAUUCCCAGGUUCAAGGCUGUUUCUGGCUAUUUUAAUGCCAUAUAGGUGGACUGUUUCCCUUGUUGGCAUCUCCUUAACAGGCAACCAUCUAGUUUGGCUAGAAACGGCCCUGUCUGGGGUGAAAAUCUUAAUUAAAAUCUUCUAAUCGGCACAAUCUGCCACAGCCUGCACCUCUUGCAUUGGCAUUUCGCUUGACAUCCAAAACUUACAGAACUGCAGCUCUGAGCAGUUAAUGCUGAAUACCAAAUCGCCUCUUUGUCUCCGUAGCUGUGCUUUAGACAUUAAAAAAAGUGAGGAAUAUCGAUUACGCUGUCGCUCGUGUGAAGGGGGACAGGUCCUUUCCUGAUUAAUUUGUAGGAAAAUGCACCUUGUGGCUCCUCCCUUGACACAGUGUUUAUUCAGCAGAAAUAAUUGGUAAUAGCUGAAAGAUAACGUGAGCAGAAUGGUCAUAUUUCUGCCUGUGCCGGUAACGUCUCAUGCAUUUUUAUGCAGUACAGCAGCAGUAUUAGAACCGAUAAUGUUCAGUAAUUAAAGCUGCAUGAGUGGGUGAAAUGGAGCCUGUACUGAAACUCAUUGCUUAUUUUGUAUAGUGCAGUGGUGCUUAUUUCAGUUGGCGGACCAUUAAAAAAAAAAAAGUGACCACCA